Long non-coding RNA from Helianthus annuus (common sunflower), 406 nucleotides. RefSeq lists it as uncharacterized. NCBI's taxonomy places the organism in Eukaryota, Viridiplantae, Streptophyta, Magnoliopsida, Asterales, Asteraceae. The record is from RefSeq and is a predicted model, not a curated record. The transcript is spliced from 3 exons.
CGUGGAUCGAUCAUCAGGAGCGACCAAAGAGGGUGAAACCCUAAAGUGCCAAAAAUCAUCAAAUUGAAGGUCGAUUUCAGUCCUAAAUCGAUGCAUGAUCACAUAAAAACGAUCACCAAGUCAUGGGGAUCACAAGUUUGUCGCCUAACGAGCUAGGUGGAGGCUUGGGAAAGAAGCGGUCAAACGAAUCAAACACGAGAAGAAAAGCGUAUUCGGAUGCGAGGUGAAUGUCAAGAGUGCUCGGAUGAAGAUCAAGCUCGAUGAAGAACCGAACACACAAGAUUAAAGCUUCCGCAAGGCGUAACGUCGUAACUUUUAAACGACGAACUUAUUUAUAUUAUGUUGAAAACUUUUAAGUUGUAAAAGUUUUAAAUUACUCGUAUUUUCUAAGGAUACUUAAUCGUAA